UGGGGAAUCUUGCGCAAUGGGCGAAAGCCUGACGCAGCCAUGCCGCGUGAAUGAUGAAGGUCUUAGGAUUGUAAAAUUCUUUCACCGGGGACGAUAAUGACGGUACCCGGAGAAGAAGCCCCGGCUAACUUCGUGCCAGCAGCCGCGGUAAUACGAAGGGGGCUAGCGUUGCUCGGAAUUACUGGGCGUAAAGGGCGCGUAGGCGGAUCGUUAAGUCAGAGGUGAAAUCCCCGGGCUCAACCCUGGAACUGCCUUUGAUACUGGCGAUCUUGAGUAUGAGAGAGGUAUGUGGAACUCCGAGUGUAGAGGUGAAAUCCGUAGAUAUUCGGAAGAACACCAGUGCGAAGGGGAGCUACUGGCUCAUUACUGACGCUGAGGCGCGAAAGCGUGGGGAGCAAACAGG
This 403-nucleotide ribosomal RNA is filed under the name bacterium. RNAcentral describes it as "partial 16S ribosomal RNA". It matches the Rfam family "Bacterial small subunit ribosomal RNA", at positions 355 to 776 of the family's 1533-position model. The record is from RNAcentral.